GUUUAUUCUGCAAAGUAAUUAAUAUUGAAAGUAUUAGAUAUUUCCUUAUUUUUAUAUUUAUAUUAUAGUAUAAUAAUAUACGAUAUUAGUUAAAUGUUCUAAGGAGUCAAGCCUGUGUUGCAAAAAAUAGUUUUGAUAGAAAGUUAUCAACAAAUUACUCAAACCGUUGUGAUUGUUUGUUUAUCAAUGUCUUAAAAUAAUUUAAAAGAGGUGCAAAAAUUCAAUCAAAUUCAAAUUGCCGCUUGAACAUACUGCGCUAAACUGUGAGGGCUAAGAAGAUCACUGUUUUACAAAUUUAGAGCAUUUCUAUUCUGUGAACAGCUGUCUGCUAUUCAAGGGUCUGGUAUAGUUAUCAAUUUGAAAAUGUCAAUUUGCUGUACCAGUCACUAAUAUUAAUAUAAACAACCUAAGAGAAUCAGAUAAGUAUAAUAGACUAGAUAAAUACUUUCAUAUUUUAUAAAAAUGUUUGCUUUGUGUAUUUAUUUUUUAUUUUAGGUGUACGUAUUACCAAGAGGGAUAUUUAUGUAUGUCAACUCUCUGAGAGGUUAAUUUACUGUAUACUUUUGUGCUUACAGACUGUAUACAUAUAUUGAAUAUAAUAACACUUCAAGAGAUGGUUAUACAACAAAAUAUUGCAUCCGGGUAUCUAGAAAUACUGAUGAGUCAAAGCAAUUUAAUCCAGUUUUGACCCUUUAACAUAACAAUUAAUUAAGUACUUACAUCACGAUUUGUUACAUCCUUCAAAAAUGUUGAUAAAAGUAAACCAUUGGGAAGAUCCGGAUCAGAAUCAUGAUUUUCAUAACUCAGCGAUUCAUCAGUGUUAUCAGUGGUUCCAAAAGUCUGAAUGUACUUUAACAAAAUUUGAUUAGAACUUUCUUGUUUUUUUGAUUUUUUUUAAUGCCUACAAAAAUUAUAAUAGAGUAAAAAUGUAUUCAAUGUAAAUGAUAUCAAUAAAAUUAAUUAUUAAUCAA
Long non-coding RNA from Nasonia vitripennis (jewel wasp), 971 nucleotides. RefSeq lists it as uncharacterized. The transcript is spliced from 2 exons. The record is from RefSeq and is a predicted model, not a curated record. Lineage: Eukaryota; Metazoa; Arthropoda; Insecta; Hymenoptera; Pteromalidae.